RNAcentral lists this long non-coding RNA (220 nucleotides) under Medicago truncatula (barrel medic). Its description in RNAcentral is "long non-coding RNA (MTRU_LNC006802)". Lineage: Eukaryota; Viridiplantae; Streptophyta; Magnoliopsida; Fabales; Fabaceae. The record is from RNAcentral.
CACAAAACAGAAACCGAAGCACAAAGUACCAACCGGACAAACCAAACGGAGCCAGAAGCAAACGGACGCGUCGAAUCCGAGUCGGAACGGACCGGAGCACAAGGCAGCGACCGAAGUUCACACCACCGCAAAUCAACCAAUCGUGAGCGGACCCAAAGACAACGCAAAAGGUAGUAUUUUCUUUAUCUCUUAGAUCUAGGUCGUGAAAACAAAAAAGAAG